CCUGCUCACUGAUAAUUUGAAGAGCUGCAGUAUUUUGACUGUACAAAGGUAGCAUAAUCAUUAGUUUUUUAAUUGGAGGCUGGUAUGAAGGGUUAGACGUGAUUUAACUGUCUUUAUUUUAUUUAGUGAAAUUAAUUUUUUUGUGAAAAAGCAUAAGUGAGGUAAAGGGACAAGAAGACCCUAUUAAAUUUUAAUAUUUUAUUUAUUAUUAUAGAUAAAUUGAAGUGAAGGGAAAUAUUUUAUUUGGGGCGAAUAGUAUUAGUCUACAAUAUUUAAAUGUAAUAAUUUUUGUGUCAGAUUAGUUGAUCUAAUAUUAGAUUAAGUGCAAGAAAAAAUUACUGUAGGGAUAACAGCGUAAUAUUUUUUGAGAGUUCAUAUUGACAAUAAUGUUUGCGACCUCGAUGUUGGAUUAAGAAGUCUAUUUGACGCAUAGGUUGUAUUAGAUGGUCUGUUCGACCAUUAAAUUCUUACAUGAUCUGAGUUCAGACCGGCG
This 493-nucleotide ribosomal RNA is filed under the name Cambalomorpha scutata. RNAcentral's name for it is "Glyphiulus sp. sc YZ-2022a partial large subunit ribosomal RNA". It matches the Rfam family "Bacterial large subunit ribosomal RNA", at positions 1858 to 2621 of the family's 2925-position model. The record is from RNAcentral. Lineage: Eukaryota; Metazoa; Arthropoda; Diplopoda; Spirostreptida; Cambalopsidae.